This 998-nucleotide long non-coding RNA is filed under the name Panax ginseng (ginseng). Its description in RNAcentral is "long non-coding RNA (PGIN_LNC013769)". The record is from RNAcentral. Lineage: Eukaryota; Viridiplantae; Streptophyta; Magnoliopsida; Apiales; Araliaceae.
UGAACUAAUGGGCUGGAUCCGCCCCUGUUUGUGGGUACAGGUUCCACUUGAGAUCAUGCUUUCUGGGAUAAAGGUUAAGUGUACAGUCAGAUUAACUAUAGAGAUUGUAAUGGAGUUAUCUGGUAUUUCUUGCUUUAGUAGUCAAACAUGCUAUCUUAAUUUAUUUUAUUUAUUUACUUAUCCAAAACAAGAAGAAGAAGAAGAAAUUCCUUGAUUACUACUUUUCAAAAAAUAAAUUAAAAAUCCUUGAUCUCAAUCAUAUUAGUCAGCAUAUUAUGGAUGUGCAGGCGAGUGAACAACGGUAGCUUCAGUUGCAACUUGUUACCUUCAGUGUGUAUAGUGUGGAACUUGAGAAUAAUAGUAAUAAGAUAUUGUUAUGACAGUUGGAAAUAUCCUUGUGAGUUAUUUGCUCUAAUUUUUUGAUCUCCUGCUUUCUCUUCAUUUAACUCAACAGGCUUUUUAGUACUCGUGAUGAAAUAAUAGUAAAUGCUUCAGCAGCUUUCCUAACUUCGGGACGGCAGAGCUUCUAAAGAAGUGUAUGAAAUCAAGACAUUUCUUGGAUCUCAAGAAGACAUGAUCUUAUCUCUCUAAUAUGAUUUUCCCAACAAAAUCCUACCUUAUGAACCAUUUGGCCAUCAUGGAGAGUGCAAUUUUAUAUGCUCUUCUUGCUUGAGGUGGUGUUGGUGGACUUGGUAGAAGCAUCUUCUUAUUUGUAGUGUUUGUUGCAAGUAGUUUGAUGAUGGUUAUGUUUUGCCAAUGUCAUAUGUAUGUUACAACACCUCAUCAUGAUGUAACAUCUGGUUUCCAGUUUUUUUUAUUCUCCCUCAAGCUCAUGAAAGUUGUGUCCCUUUCAUAGUUGAUUUAGAAUUUGUUGUUGUAUCUCCAUCCUAAUUGCUCACACCUCCUACUUUUACUUUUAGUUUUACAAAAUUUGAUUUUCAAUUUGCCUUGCACAGCUUCAAAUCAUUGUUACUUCUAUUCUCAUUUACCCAUUUGUU